CAGCAGCCGCGGUAACACGGAGGGCGCGAGCGUUACCCGGAUUUACUGGGUGUAAAGGGCGUGUAGGCGGCCUGGGGCGUCCCAUGUGAAAGGCCACGGCUCAACCGUGGAGGAGCGUGGGAUACGCUCAGGCUAGAGGGUGGGAGAGGGUGGUGGAAUUCCCGGAGUAGCGGUGAAAUGCGCAGAUACCGGGAGGAACGCCGAUGGCGAAGGCAGCCACCUGGUCCACUUCUGACGCUGAGACGCGAAAGCGUGGGGAGCAAACCGGAUUAGAUACCGCGUAGUCCCUGUCUCUUAUACC
This 301-nucleotide ribosomal RNA is filed under the name uncultured bacterium. RNAcentral's name for it is "partial 16S ribosomal RNA". It matches the Rfam family "Bacterial small subunit ribosomal RNA", at positions 509 to 808 of the family's 1533-position model. The record is from RNAcentral.